Molecule: ribosomal RNA, 754 nt
Filed under: uncultured bacterium
Lineage: Bacteria
Description: bacterial SSU rRNA
Rfam family: Bacterial small subunit ribosomal RNA
Source: RNAcentral
CUACGGGAGGCGCAGUGGGAAUCUUAGACAUGGGCGCAACCUGAUCUACCAUGCCGCGUGUCGAUGAAGCCUUAGGGUUGAAAGAUCUUUCAUGGGAAGAUAAUGACGGACCCACAGAGAAGCCCCGGCUACUCCGUGCCAGCCCGCGGUAAUACGGAGGGGCUAGCGUAUUCGGAAUUACGGGCGUAAAGCCACUAGGCGGAUUAAAAGUCAGAGGUAAAUCCCAGGGCUCACCUUGGACUGCCUUUAAACUGUUGUCUUGAGGUCGUAGAGGUGAGUGGAAUCCGAGGUAGAGGUGAAUUCGUGAUAUUCGGAGGACACCAGUGGCGAAGGCGCUACUGGCACGAUACUGCGUGAGGUGCGAAAGGUGGGGAGCAAACAGGAAGAUACCCUGGUAGUCCACCGUAAACGAUGAAGCCAGUCGUCGGCAAGCUGUUGUCGGUGACACACCUACGAUUAAGCAUUCGCCUGGGGAGUACGGCGCAAGUUAAAACUCAAAGGAUUGAGGGGGCCCGACAAGCGGUGGAGAUGUGGUUUAUUCGAAGCAACGGCAGAACUUACCAACCUUGACAUGGCGUGACCGUUCCAAGAUGGAUCUUCUCGUAAGAGAACUGCAACAGGUGCGCAUGGCUGUCGUCACUCGUGUCGGAGAUGUUCGGUUAGUCCGCAACGGCGCAACCCACACUUUUAUUGCCAUAUUCAGUUGGGCACUCUAAAGACUCCGGUGAUAAGCCGGAGGAAGUGUGAUGACGUC